CUCCUCCAUGUAUCUAUGUUGUUCCUUUUCUCUAUCUCUAAUAAUAUCUACUUCUCCCGUGGAUGUAGGCGGUUUGCCGAACCACGUUAAAUAUUGUGUCGGUGUGCUUAGCCUCCAAUGAGCAACUAUCAAAACAUUACCGGUUAGAGUUCCCAACAGAAUAUUGAAGGACAUUGAAGCUGUUUCACUGGGAACAAACAGAACUUGCUUGUCUAUUGAAAACUCAAAAAAGACACGAUAGAAGCUUAGAAAGCUAAUACUAAAAUUAAGUACACAGAUUUGCUGCAACAACCUCUAAUUCUUAUUCCUGGACGACAAGCACAAAAAAAAGGACUAAGAAUUUAUUCUCUGCAAUUUCCAAGGGCCUGGAAGAAUAACAAGAACACUGUUUCAGAUCUGACACAGAUCUGUGAAAAAGACAGGUCAAUAUGGUUAGAUGAUUGGGAAAAAAAAAGUAACUGAUACUUUGCAGGACUUGCACUUCAGAAACACUUUGGGAUUAAGUUUUCUUGAUAAUAAAGAUGUCACAAGUAUCACCAGACAAUGCCUCGCUUCCCAUUCUUCUCACCUAUCACAUGAUAAACAGUGGAAUGUUUUGUGUUGGACAGUGGAAAAGAUAUCCAAAGCUGCUAUGGAUUGUAAUGAUCUCUGGAAUGACACAGGAAAAGGUGUAGCGAAAAAAAUAGGGCUUUAUCUGAACUUCUAAAAUUAUUUGAAAUUAGUGGGUUGCACAAGCACAAGUUUGAAAAUAUAAAGAUAUCCAACAGCUCCAACUGAUUGUUCGUUUAACCAUCAUAUGAUGCGCAACAUUUGUUGUUGACGCCAAGUAGACUAUCUAGCGAAGCUUGUGUGUUUGUAUUUCAAGUGAAUUACAAUGAAUGCCUGAUGACUGUAUGGAUACUAUGUGGAAAUCAGCCAAUGAGUUUUACUUUAGAAGUGUGGCAUUUAUGCAGUGUAUGCAAAGGAUAUGCAUGAAACGCCAUGGCGAUAUUACUUAUGAUCAGGCUAGUACGGCAGUCUCUUUUCUUGACCAUAUCAGUGUUAGACAACAAUCACAACGUGCAACUGCCUAUGGUUUUUCUAAGAAAUUGAAGUGCUUGCUGGAAUGUACAUAUGCUUUUGAAAACCCAUACUUCAAGUGCACUGACAUUGAUGACAGAACUAGCAGUGAUCACUCUACUGUACAAAAUCAGCAUGCCUUCUUUCAGUGCAUGUGAAAACAAGAGCAACUUUUUGAUGGUCUAAUUACUUUGUUGGCUGAAGAAUCAUUGUUGUUGAGAAUAGUGGCAAGCACCCAUUUGAAGUCUUGUCAAAGUGUCAAACCUUUUGCAAUUUAUGUUCUUCAAUUCAUUGAGAAAUCUAUCCCAUCUACGCGGAAAUCCAAGGAGUCAUUGGAUAACUAUCUUCUUGGUCAACUAGGAGGCCUGCAAAGUCUUCUACAGGAAUCAUUGGAUAAAUCUCUGCUUGGCCGUGUUGUUGUUUAAUAUGCUGGACCCUAGCGUCCUUACAUUAUUUCAGAACAUAUGGAACAAUUGGUGUAUAAAACCUUCCAAGUCAUUAAGGAGUUUGCGGUGUUGGUGGGAGAAACCACUAGUGGUGGCUCUGAUACCAAUUGUUGGGGAUUUCUGCUCUCCCUGCGGAACUGUGGUGUUCAUGAUCAUUGCUCAAAGGAGGCUAAGCACACUGACACAAUAUUUAACGUGGUUCGGCAAAUCGCCUACAUCCACGGGAGAGAUCAAUAUUAUUAGAGAUAGAGAAAGAAUACAACACACGGAGGAGGAUCACAUCCACUCAACUCCCAUCUCUCAUUGCUACAUAGGGCAGCAGCUGCAUAAGGCAGCAGGGCUGCUGGUGGCAGCCCUUCUCUUUCUUUCUCUCUUCUUCUCUCUUUUGUUCUUGCUCUCUCUCAUUUUAUGCUGCACUCUUGGUGUCUAUUUAUAGGCUUCAAUGACAGCUCCUCUUGCUCCUUUGUCAACAGUGGUGGCUGCCAAACUUUGACAUUAGACAAUGGUUGUUGGCUGCCACCAACAACCCACCAUUGUAGCCUCCUUCUUUGACAAUGUCAAGGGGCUGCAAAUGCUGCACCAACAGCCCUCUUUGACUCUCACAUGGCAGCCAUCUUCUUUGACAAUGGCAGCCACAUAAUUGGCAAUAUUCCAACAUGCGGAGCAUUUCUUUGAUUUCUGUAAAUAAGACAGGAAUAGAAACUUCUUCAUAGAGACGCGCUUGGUCGUUUUGAUGACGCGUUUUAUGGCUAUUUAAACUAGAUCUCGUGAAAAAAAAAACCAUUAAGAAAUGGCUCUUUAAACUCCACGACCGUUCAGAAAUAUUUCACACACCAGGUCUCAUGAAAAAAAACAGCAACUGUUGAGAGACAGCUACAACCCAACACUGUGGAAAAUUCAAAUCACAAAAGCAAGUGACGCGGAACCUCUACUCGAGACAGUCAACCUACAUCGAAGUUCCAAAGAAUGUUCAUCAGCCAUAUAUAUUUACCUUGUUAGCCCACCUUAUUCAACUUGGUAUUCUUAAGUUUUGUGUGAUAAAGUAGGAGAUAUUGGCAGCGAGUCACCUCUGUUUUUUUUUACGGGGUUGGAAGCUGAUUUAUUUGUAAAACAAAGAAGUCUCCUAUGCUGGCAGAAUAUAUUUGGAUGAGAUAGAGCUGCUAGCAGGGUCAGCCUAGUGGACAAGGAUGAUCUCUGGACAUAUCUUUUAUCUAAUUAAUUUGGCCACAUCUUAUAGAACUAAAGCCUUACAGUUAUUCUCAUUUAUGUCCAAGCACAAUGUAUUGUAAAGAUCCUUAUUGUUUCCUCAUCAACUUGAUCUUCCUCACUAAUGCUUUCAAAAUUAAGUUUUAACCAUUCCUCUAAUGUUAUGGAGAGGCAAUAAUCCACUAACACCACUGUCAACAACUUAAGCAUCAAGUUGGUGCAAUUUUGCACUUACCCCCGUUUUGAUC
Molecule: long non-coding RNA, 2959 nt
Filed under: Populus trichocarpa (black cottonwood)
Lineage: Eukaryota; Viridiplantae; Streptophyta; Magnoliopsida; Malpighiales; Salicaceae
Description: long non-coding RNA (PTRI_LNC003814)
Source: RNAcentral